This 443-nucleotide ribosomal RNA is filed under the name uncultured bacterium. RNAcentral describes it as "partial 16S ribosomal RNA". It matches the Rfam family "Bacterial small subunit ribosomal RNA", at positions 338 to 795 of the family's 1533-position model. The record is from RNAcentral.
CCUACGGGAGGCAGCAGUGGGGAAUAUUGGGCAAUGGAGGCAACCCUGACCCAGCAACGCCGCGUGAAUGAUGAAGGUUUUCGGAUUGUAAAGUUCUUUUCUAAGGGAAGAAGAAAGUGACGGUACCUUAGGAAUAAGCCUCGGCUAACUACGUGCCAGCAGCCGCGGUAAUACGUAGGAGGCGAGCGUUAUCCGGAUUGACUGGGCGUAAAGGGUGCGUAGGUGGUUUGGCAAGUUAGUUGUGAAACUCCAAGGCUCAACCUUGGAACUGCUAUUGAAACUGUUGGACUUGAGUACAGGAGAGGCAGCCGGAAUUCCUAGUGUAGCGGUGGAAUGCGUAGAUAUUAGGAGGAACACCAGUGGCGAAGGCGGGUUGCUAGACUGUAACUGACGCUGAGGCACGAAAGCGUGGGGAGCAAACAGGAUUAGAUACCCGUGUAGUC